GACGUAGGGGGCCCAGCGUUGCUCGGAAUAACUGGGCGUAAAGGGUCCGUAGGCGGUGCAGCAAGUCGGGAGUGAAAUUUCUGGGCUUAACCCAGAAUCGGCUUCCGAAACUGCUGUGCUGGAGUGCGAGAGAGGCGAGUGGAAUUGCAGGUGUAGCGGUGAAAUGCGUAGAUAUCUGCAGGAACACCAGAGGCGAAAGCGGCUCGCUGGAUCGCAACUGACGCUGAGGGACGAAAGCUAGGGGAGCAAACAGGAUUAGAUACCCGGGUAGU
Molecule: ribosomal RNA, 272 nt
Filed under: uncultured bacterium
Lineage: Bacteria
Description: partial 16S ribosomal RNA
Rfam family: Bacterial small subunit ribosomal RNA
Source: RNAcentral